Mandrillus leucophaeus (drill) is the source of this 671-nucleotide RNA transcript. It is a transcript of the gene named 60S ribosomal protein L7a pseudogene, with no coding region annotated. The transcript has a single exon. The record is from RefSeq and is a predicted model, not a curated record. Lineage: Eukaryota; Metazoa; Chordata; Mammalia; Primates; Cercopithecidae.
UCUUUCCGCCGUUCAAGAUGCCGAAAGGAAGGAAGUCUAAGGGGAAGAAGGUGGCUCCGGCACCUGCAGUCACAAAGAAACAAGAGGCCAAGAAAGUGGUGAAUCCCCCGCUUCAGAAAAGGCCUAAGAAUGUUGGCAUUGGACAGGACAUCCAACCCAAAAGAGACCUCGCCCACCUUGUGAAAAGGCCCUGCUAUAUCAGGAUGCAGCAGCAGAGAGCCAUCCUCUGUAAGCGACUAAAAAUGCCUCCUGCGAUUAACCAGUUCACCCAGGCACUGAACCACCAAACAGCCACUCAGCUGCUUAAGCUGACCCGCAAGUACAGACUAAAGCAAAGCAAGAGAAGAAGCAGAGGCUGUCUGUCGGCCCCAGCUGAGAAGAAAGCUGCCGGCAAAGGGGACAUCCCCACUAAGAGACCACCUGCCCUUCGAGCAGGAGUUAACACUGUCACCACCUUGGUGGAGAACGUGAAAGCUCAGCUGGUGGUGACUGAUGGCACAUGACGUGGAUCCCAUUGAGCUGGUUGUCUUUCUGCCUGCCCUGUGUCAUAAAAUGGGGGUCCCUUACUGCAUUAUCCAUGGGAAGCCAGACUGGGACGUCUAGUCCACAAGAAGACUAGCACCAAAGCUCAAAAAGCAAAGGCCAAAGAACUUCCUACUAAACUGGAUUAA